AAAAAGUUAGUUAAAUUAUAACAUAAAUAUGUCAUAUUUAUAUUAUUAGUUAAAUCUAGUACUUUUUG
RNAcentral lists this transfer RNA (68 nucleotides) under Mucroberotha vesicaria. RNAcentral's name for it is "tRNA-Asp". The record is from RNAcentral. Lineage: Eukaryota; Metazoa; Arthropoda; Insecta; Neuroptera; Berothidae.